AUGCACCUGGACAAGGAUUC
RNAcentral lists this microRNA (20 nucleotides) under Capra hircus (goat). RNAcentral's name for it is "chi-miR-502a". Its record names the gene chi-miR-502a. Lineage: Eukaryota; Metazoa; Chordata; Mammalia; Artiodactyla; Bovidae. The record is from miRBase by way of RNAcentral.